This 2988-nucleotide unclassified non-coding RNA is filed under the name Leishmania donovani. Its description in RNAcentral is "gene:LdHU3.28.0970(CDS-product:hypothetical_prote in_conserved)". Lineage: Eukaryota; Euglenozoa; Kinetoplastea; Trypanosomatida; Trypanosomatidae. The record is from RNAcentral.
UACGCAGCUUGUGCUGGCGGUUGCACAGUCAGCUCUUUUUUUUUACACCCUUUACGGUGCUGACGACCCUGCUUUUAUCGUCUGUUUCUAGUACAACUGAGAUUCCCAGCUGCCCUCUAUCUCUACGUUGCCCCAAUCUACGUCCUCCCCCUUUUAGUAUUUGCUGCAUACUCUCUGUCUGGCUAUACGAAGGCGCGUACGUUCACCUUUUACCUCAACUAUAGAUCGAUCCUGGAUUUCGCCUCUGGGAGUGUAUGCGUCUGUGUGUCUCAACAUUCUCCUCAUUCAGUUUUAUCAUUUCUCUCUUAGGAGUUUAGCACAUUAGGCACCCUUUUUUUUUUUCGUUUUUGUUCUCCCGCUCUUGUGUUGCCGUUCGCCUUCUCGCAUGUUUCUUCUUGCUCUUUCUCGCUGCCACCUCUGUUCCCCUGUUCAAUUCUCUCAAAACAUCCCCAUUUGAGCACCCUGCACUCCCUGAAUUCCCCUCCUGCUCCCGAUACUCGUUUAUCUGAGCACUACUGCCCACACGAGUGUCCUCUCAGCAGCGUUGCUGUUCGACUCCGCUGCUCAUAGGUUCUCCUUGCGGAACGCCAGUAUCGCGUGGCUUUUUUCCCUUUUUCCUUUUUUCUUCGCUCUUUUUUUUCGGCCGCUACCAAGACUAGUUUUCUACAUCCCUUUUCCCUUUUUCUUUUUGAGUUGUCCCCCCCCCCACACACACACUGAGGGACUUUCACUCGUUUCCCACAUUUAGCUGUGCUUCUCGUCCGCAGCUUCUCGCACUUGGUGUGACUGCUUUGCCCGCUUGUUUCGUUGUUUUUCUCUGAUUGCCGUAGUGUGCGUUUUUUUUUGUACCUCCGCUCUUCGUCACCCCUUUCCCCUCUUUUCUUCUGUUUCUGUGUUUUAUAUCAUCGAAUCGACCAUGUCUCGAACUUCGUCAAUGUAUGUUUCACCCAAUCUGGGCCCCACCGCGCCGUGGGGUCAGCAAACAUCUACCGGCGUGUUUCGCCCGCCGCCAGCGAUCUCGCUUAACCCUAGCGCAACCAACGUGCCGCGGCACGAGGGUAAGACGGCGCCCCCAUGCUACUCUGCAGGCGGCGGCGUCGACACGACAGGCGAGCACGGGCCAGCACCUGGCCUCGUGCCUGCUCCCCCUUAUCCUCUAGGAACUGGUGUGCCGCACGACCGACACAGCGAGGUGGGCAGCCACAUCGACUCGUCGCCUCCGCUGCGGUCCACCAGUCCGCCCUUCUACACACAAAAUUACUACGGUAAAGUGCCGGCCUCGCUCGUGCCCGCCAAUGCACACGGAGUCGCAGGAGCCGCAAACGGGGACAGUGGUGUCAGCGCCAUCACGUACCCGGCGGGCCGAAUCAUGAAAAUGAUCUCCUACUCGGUGCACCGUGAGGAAGACGCGUUCCUGGCGAAGAAAGAGAGCAAUCGAGUGCUUGAGAAGGAGCUGCUGCAUGAGCAGGAGCUUCGGCGUGAGACCCAGCGCCAGCUGGAGGCUCUCGAUGAAAUGUUGCAGAUGCUUCACGAAAUCCGCGAAGCGCAGUCUAGGCUAGGCGCGAGCUUGGGGCUGACACUGUGAAGGAGAUGCGUUUUCCGUGACCUGCCGACACCUUAACACGCGCGCUGGAUGGCGCGAGAGCGUCAAAGGCGCUUUUCUGUAUUGUUUUCGGAUCGCUGGCCUCGGCGCAGGAGGCUAUGCCGAAAGCGCCCUGGCUCAUGCGCCACACUACCUACAGAGGGAAACGGAGAGAGAUAAGAGGAAAGAUGCAGAACCAGGGGAGGAGACGACUUGCACAACAAAAGAGGCGGAGUGCAACGGUAAGGAGUGACUUUCGCUUGUAAUUGAUGAGAAGGUGUAGAGGUGUUCCUCGUUGGCACAACCAACUCUCGCCGUGAUCUCCUUCCUGCCUCCUAUGAGCCCUGCUUCCACUCUCUCCCCUCAUGUCUUUCGACAUUCUCUUUGUGUGCAGAUGAGAAGUCGACGAAGGAAGCACAAGGAAAACGUUGUAGGUUCAAAGAAACAGCCAAGAAGCGGGGUGGUGUGCGCGGGCGCACGGUGUGGUACUGGCCCCAUGGAGGGGUUUUUUUCGCUGAGGAAGCGGCGUCACUAUCCAUCUGAGGCGCCUCCGAAGCCGCCGUCGCCGCUUGUGUCGUCAGUGCUGCAUUGGGUUUGCGCGCUUUGCUUCUUUUGUCCAUCUCUACUCCCCCUGUCCUGGAUGGCGCGGGGGAGGGGGGCACCUCAGCGCGUGGCAUCGCAGGGCCCAGUGCCCGCUCGGUGUGUGUGUGUGCGUGGGUGUGGGGUGCCAGACGCCCCCUCUUCCCCCUCUUAUCCCUGCCAAUGCCGAACCCCGCUUCUGGUCGUCGCAGGGUCGGGUGCCUAUGACGUAGCGAAGUCAGGGCUAUGCAUGGCUGCUCAUGUGGGUGGCCAGGUCCUGGCUGGCGUUGCGUCGGAGCGACCUGCGACCUGCGACCGUGGGCACGCCUGUGCCAUCCAUGCGAUAGGCAAGGUGUCAGCGUGACUCGAACGCAUCCGGCCCCCGGCCUGCGCUGCCUACUGGUGGGGAGCCUGGGCCGCCUUGAGGGAUGCACCAGGUGGUGACCGACACAAUGGGAACGUCUGUGAGGCGACCUACUCCGCGGGUGUGGGUAGGGUUUGAGGCAGGGGUUGUGCUCCGACGGCUGAGUCGGCGCAUCGCGGUGAAAACGCGGCUCUCGUGCUCCUUUGCACUAGGCGUAUAGGCCUGUGGCAGGCCGGGUAGAGUGGCGUUGGCGUCAUGCUGAAAGGCAGAACGGAUCCGUUGGAACCAAAAAAAAAUGUCUUCUGGCAAUGCGCUUAGCGUAUGCAUGCGUUUGCACGUGCAUUAGUAUCUGCAGGUGCGGAUAGUUUCUGCCCCACUUUAUGGAAGAAGACACUGCGCACUUCUUUAGAGUACCAAGGCGAUGUAACGGAUACGCUUUUGAUAUAUAUGAUCCUACACUGAG